Molecule: ribosomal RNA, 449 nt
Filed under: uncultured bacterium
Lineage: Bacteria
Description: partial 16S ribosomal RNA
Rfam family: Bacterial small subunit ribosomal RNA
Source: RNAcentral
AGCGAACGCUGGCGGCAGGCCUAACACAUGCAAGUCGAGCGCCGUAGCAAUACGGAGCGGCAGACGGGAGAGUAACACGUGGGAACGUACCCUUUGGUUCGGAACAACCCAGGGAAACUUGGGCUAAUACCGGAUAAGCCCUCACGGGGAAAGAUUCAUCGCCGAAGGAUCGGCCCGCGUCUGAUUAGCUAGUUGGUGGGGUAAUGGCCCACCAAGGCGACGAUCAGUAGCUGGUCUGAGAGGAUGAUCAGCCUCACUGGGAAUGAGACACGGCCCAGACUCCUACGGGAGGCAGCAGUGGGGAAUAUUGGACAAUGGGCGCAAGCCUGGUCCAGCCAUGCCGCGUGGGUGAUGAAGGCCCUAGGGUUGUAAAGCCCUUUCGGCGGGGAAGAUAAUGACGGUACCCGCAGAAGAAGCCCCGGCUAACUUCGUGCCAGCCGCCGCAGUAA